AGACAGGGAGAAAGAGAGGCACCUGCAGCACUGCUUCACCACUUGUGAAGCUUUCCCCUGCAGGUGGGGACUGGGGGCUUGAACCUGUGUGCCCUCAACCUGGUAUGCCACUGUCCAGCCCCUUUCUUUAUGAAUUUUUCAGAAGUUGAUUUUGGUUUGAAAGUCGGCUAGUCUUUGCCAAAAUAUAGACCUCUCUCCCCCUCCAGUAAACUUAAUUGCUGUCCAAGGUAGCUGAGAAACACUCAGUCCUCAGUAGAGGGAGGAGGUCCCCUGGCACCCACAGGCGGUCUGCACCCCCUGCCACCCUCCCCCCCACAUGCCCCAGAGCCUUCUGGAAAGCUGCCGCUGGGACUGGUUCAGGUUGCUCACACAAUUGCCUCUGGGGCCAGCGUCCCCAGCCUUAAGCCAAUGCACAUUUAUAGCAGUGUCCAUGUGACCCGGGGAGGGCAGCCCGCGGGCAGAGGGCAGAGCUGAAAAGUCCCAGCCUCAGGGUGAGGGGCCAGUUCCACUCGGCCACCCAUCUCUGAAGACACAGGGACUCUUCACACAGGCUUUCAAAGGGACAGCUGCAGUCUGCGUUCCCACUAGCAGUGAAGCAGAGUCCCUUUUCUCCACAGCCUCCCCAACACUUGUCACCUCCUGAUUUGUUGAUGGAAGCCGUCCUCGCAGGUGUGAGCCAGAGUCUCAGUGAAGUUUUGAUGUGCAUUUCUCCAAUGAUUAAUAAAGUGGAGCAUUUCUU
Erinaceus europaeus (western European hedgehog) is the source of this 739-nucleotide long non-coding RNA. RefSeq lists it as uncharacterized. The transcript has 2 exons. The record is from RefSeq and is a predicted model, not a curated record. NCBI's taxonomy places the organism in Eukaryota, Metazoa, Chordata, Mammalia, Eulipotyphla, Erinaceidae.